GAUAAAUAAUUGUUCAAAAGUUAUGAGGAGAUAAUUAACCCCUUUUUCAUCACACAUCAUCACUGGUUGUCUAAUAUUCUUAAUUUUAUAUGGAAAUUAAAAGAUUUAAAGUUGUAGUUUAAGUUUUUUAAAGAUUAAAUUAGUAAUAAGAGGUAUAAGUGUGAAUAGUAUUCCAGAUUUGUUUUUUCUUCAUUGAUUGUUGUUAUUCAUGCAUUUGAUACAUUGUAUUUGAAGUAAUCUCAUACCCCUAUUCAUUUUGUCAAACUUACAUGGAGAUCUUUUCGUGUCUUGAUUUGGACAAGUUGUAUUUUUAUACGACCGCAAAAAUUUUAAUUUUUUGGUCGUAUAUUGCUAUCACGUUGGCGUCGUCGUCUCCGAAACUUUAGUUUUCGCACUCUAACUUUAGUAAAAGUGAAUAGAAAUCAAUGAAAUUUAACACAAGUUUUGACCACAAAAGGAAGGUUGGGAUUGAUUUGGGAUUUGGUCCCAACAUUUUAGGAAUAGGGGCCAAAAAGGCCCAAAAGCAUUUCUGGUUUUCGCACAUAACUUUAGUUUAAGUAAAAAAAUUCUAUGAAAUUUGACACAAGUUAUGACCACAAAAGGACGGUUGGGAUUGCUUGGGAGUUUUUGUUCCAACAUUAGGAAUUAAGGCAAAAGGGCCUAAAUAAACAUUAUUCUUGUUUUGCACCAUAAUUAGUAUAAGUAAUAGAAAUCUAUGAAAUUUUAACACAAGGUUUAUGACCACAAAAGAAAGGUUGGGAUUGAUUUUGGGAGUUUUGGUCCCAGCAGUUUAGGAAUUAGGGGCCAAAAAGGGCCCAAAUAAGCAUUUUCUUGGUUUUCGCACUAUAACUUUACUUUAAGUAAAUAGAAAUCUAUGAAAUUUUGACAGAAGGUUUAUGACCACAAAAGGAAGGUUGGGAUUGAUUUUGGGAGUUUUGGUUUCAACAGUUUAGGAAAUUUUAAGGGGCCAAAAAAGGGCCCAAAUAAGCAUUAUGCUUGGUUUUCGCACAAUAACUUUAGUAUAGUAAAUAAAAUCAAUGAAAUAAACACAAGGUUAUGACCACAAAAGGAAGGUUGGAUUGAUUUUGGAGUUGAGUCACAACAGUUUAUGAAUAGCCAAAAGGGGCCCAAAAUAAGCAUUAUUUUGGUUUUGCACCAUAACUUUAGUAUAAGUUAAUAGAAACUAUGAAAUUUUGACACAAGGUUUAUGACCACAAAAGGACGGUUGGAUUGUCUUUGGAGUUUUGGUCCAACAGUUUAGAAUUAAGGGCCCAAAAAGGCCAAAUAAGCAUUAUCUUGUUUUCGCACAAUAACUUUAGUAUAAGUAAAUAGAAAUCAAUGAAAUUUAAACACAAGGUUUAUGACCACAAAAGGAAGGUUGGGAUUGUUUUGGAGUUUAGGUCACAACAGUUUAUGAAUUAGGGCCAAAAGGCCCAAAUAAGCAUAUUUUUGUUUUGCACCAUAACUUUAGUAUAAGUUAAUAGAAAUCUAUGAAUUUAAACACAAGUUUAUGACCAUAAAAGAAGGUUGGGUUUGUUUUGGAGUUUUGGUCCAACAGUUAGGAAUAAGGGGCCCAAAAGGGUCCAAAAUUGAACUUUGUGUGAUUUCAUCAAAAAUUGAAUAAUGGGGUCUUGAUAUGCCGAAUCUAACUAUGUAUUAGAUUCUUAAUUUUUGGUCCCGUUUUUCAAAUUGGUCUACAUUAAGUCCAAAGGGUCCAAAAUUAAACUUAGUUUGAUUUUAACAAAAAUUGAAUCCUUGGGGUUCUUUGAUAUGCUGAAUUAAAAAUGUACUUAAUUUUUAAUUAUUGGCUAGUUUUCAAAGUUGGUCCAAUGGGGGUCCAAAUUAAACUUGUUGAUUUCAUCAAAAAUUGAAUAAUGGUUCUUUGAUAUGCCAAAUCUAACUGUGUAUGUAGAUUCUUAAUUUUGGUCCGUUUUCAAAUUGGUCUACAUUAAGGUCCAAAGGUCCAAAAUUAAACUAGUUGAUUUUAACAAAAAUUAAAUUCUUGGCUUAUUUGAUAUAUGCUUUAUCUAAACAUGUACUUUGAUUUUGAUUAUGCCAGUUUUCAAGUUGGUCAAAUCAGGAUUCCAUACAAGUAUUGUGCAAUAGCAAGAAAUUUCAAUUGCACAGUUAUUGCACAAUAGCAAGAAAUAUCUAAUUGCACAAUAUUGUGCAAUAACAAUUAAUUUUCAAUUGAGUUAUCUUUCUUUGUAUAAAUAGUAGUUGAUAAUAUAUGUUGGAAUUUGCCAGACAUGACUAUGGUGUCAUUUUCUAUUUUUUAUUUGCAAUAAUUUAUGUAAAUAACUUCAUUGGAAAUUUGCCAAUAUAAAAUGUUGCUGAUGAAGUUUUUUUUUCCUUAUCUUAUCUAAAAUGUUUUUAGAUAAUAUAUGUUGGAAAUUUUCCAGACAUGACUAUGAUGUCAUUUUCUAUUUUUAUUUGCCAAUAACUUUAUAUAAAUAAUUCAUUGGAAAUUGCCAAUAUAAAAUGUUGCGAUGAAGCUUUUUUUCUUAUCUUUUCUAAAAUGUUUUAAUAAUGUAUGUUGGAAUUUGCCAGACAGACUCAUGUCAUUUUCUAUUUUAUAAUUUUCUGAUGUAUUAAAUGAGUGUUUAGGUUCAAAUCCAUUUAAAAUUUGAAUGAGAUGAUAGAUGAUGGAGUCUGACAUUGUUUGUGUAAAAAAACAUAAUGUCAAAAAAUUUGAUCACAAUCCAAAUUCAGAGCUGUAUACGCUUAAAUGUGUUGUCCAUACCUGCCCAACGUUCAGGGAUCGACUCUGCGUCGUAUAAAGCUGCGCGCCUGCGGAGCACACUGGUUGUUGGAUAUUUCAAUUCACUAAAAUUGGUACCCCAUGAAUAAAAGUACUUUCACAGUAUACUAAAUGUAAGAAAUUUGUAGCCCCAUUGCCAAUAUGUAAGACAGAAUUCGAAAUAUAAAUACUGCUGUCUGAUGACUAAUGACUUAUAACUUGUAAAGGAUGCUAUUUGGUAGAUUUGUAAUAUUGUUUUGGUUAUAAAAUUUAAGUUGCCAAAUAAAUGGUCUGGUUAUAUUUUUUAAACUCUGACAUCUUUUUAAACAUUUAUGAAAGAUUGUACUGUUGUAUUUUUACUCUAAGGAAUGUAGAGAUAUACUAUAGAUGGUAAAAUGUGAAACUUUUAUUAUGGCUGUGAAAUAAAAAAAAAAACACAUUCAUUGCAAAUCGUGCAAACAAUCAGCAGAAGGCAGUCAUUUAAUAUAUUAGAUAUUUCUUUUUUAAACAAGACUCACAAAAAUAAGAAAGAAUUACUUAUACAUUUAUUUUCUAGUAUUUCACAUUUAAUUGAAUGGUAUUCUUUCUAGAAUAACAGUAUAUUGCUGUCAUUUUAAUUUUUAUGUUCGAUUUGUUUCUUGAUAAAGUAUUGUUUUUACAUAAUUACAACAAAAGCAUUUUACCAUGUUGUGAUCAUGGAGAAAUAUUACAAAACAACAAAAUCAUAGGUUACAGUUAUUGAAAAUUAUUAUAUUGAAGAUUUUCCCCAUAAAUCAUGCUUAAAAAAUCACUGUUUGCAUCCAACCACCCUACUAUUAGAAAUUUAGAUAACUUGUGCUGUUACUGAAAAAAAAAAGACAAUUUUGAAGACAUCCCCAUCUACACAAAUGAUCUAGAUUCUUACUCUUCAUGUUAUUGUGAUAAAUUCAAAAUAACACUGAAACUCCUUUUUGAUAAGAUAUUUAAAUUUCUCGAUUUUUUUUAUGCCCCUAGUUUACUCUUAUACAAUUCAGAACUUGAUGAACAGUAACUAUACAAUCAUGUUUUAAUUAUCAUUGCUAUAUAUUGGUAAAUAAAUUUAUAUUGGGUUUUG
This 3833-nucleotide long non-coding RNA is filed under the name Mytilus galloprovincialis (Mediterranean mussel). Lineage: Eukaryota; Metazoa; Mollusca; Bivalvia; Mytilida; Mytilidae. The record is from RNAcentral.